AACGAACGCUGGCGGCAGGCCUAACACAUGCAAGUCGAGCGGGGACUUCGGUCCUAGCGGCGGACGGGUGAGUAACGCGUGGGAACGUGCCCUUUGCUUCGGAAUAGCCCCUGGAAACGGGGAGUAAUACCGGAUGUGCUCGAGAGAGGAAAGAUUUUUCGGCAAAGGAUCGGCCCGCGUUGGAUUAGGUAGUUGGUGGGGUAAUGGCCUACCAAGCCGACGAUCCAUAGCUGGUUUGAGAGGAUGAUCAGCCACACUGGGACUGAGACACGGCCCAGACUCCUACGGGAGGCAGCAGUGGGGAAUCUUAGACAAUGGGCGCAAGCCUGAUCUAGCCAUCGCCGCGUAGACGGACGAGUAGGAACGGUACCGUUUAGGGUUAGU
Molecule: ribosomal RNA, 384 nt
Filed under: uncultured bacterium
Lineage: Bacteria
Description: bacterial SSU rRNA
Rfam family: Bacterial small subunit ribosomal RNA
Source: RNAcentral